This 467-nucleotide ribosomal RNA is filed under the name uncultured bacterium. RNAcentral's name for it is "partial 16S ribosomal RNA". It matches the Rfam family "Bacterial small subunit ribosomal RNA", at positions 28 to 507 of the family's 1533-position model. The record is from RNAcentral.
GACGAACGCUGGCGGCGUGCUUAACACAUGCAAGUCGAACGGAAAGGCUCCAGCUUGCUGGAGUACUCGAGUGGCGAACGGGUGAGUAACACGUGGGUAAUCUGCCCUGCACUCUGGGAUAAGCCUGGGAAACUGGGUCUAAUACUGGAUAUGACCUUUCUCCUUAUGGGGUUUGGUGGAAAGUUUUUCGGUGUAGGAUGAGCCCGCGGCCUAUCAGCUUGUUGGUGGGGUGAUGGCUUACCAAGGCGACGACGGGUAGCCGGCCUGAGAGGGGGAUCGGCCACAUUGGGACUGAGCUACGGCCCAGCCCCCUCCGGGGGGCAGCGGGGGGGAAUUUUGCACAAGGGGGGGAGGCCGGAGGCGGCGACGCCGCGGGGGGGAUGACGCCCUUCGGUUUGUAAACCUUUUCCAGCGGGGACGAAGCGUAAGUGACGUUACCUGAAAAAGAAGCCCCGCCUAACUAUGUC